Non-coding RNA from Drosophila melanogaster (fruit fly), 428 nucleotides. The record is from Ensembl. NCBI's taxonomy places the organism in Eukaryota, Metazoa, Arthropoda, Insecta, Diptera, Drosophilidae.
GUUGUAUAUUUGAAAGCAAGUUCCAUGGCUGCAUGUAAUUUGCUGUUUGAACAACUUGUCGCUGGUGACAUUUUGGCAGAGCCUCACUGGGAAUGAGACUGGCACUUGGAUGGGAGUCUGGGCCCGCCUAACCAACUUCCUGUACAUGGCUGAUGACUUGUUCGAGCACAAUCCCCCGGAUUCCUAUCCCUGGAUCCCUGGAUCCCAGUCGCUUGCCAUCUUUUGUCCUGCCAAACUCGUGUGCAGGCCACGUUGUCGGUGACAUACUCCGCCAAACGAGAACAGAUACAGCUCCAUCUGAAGGAACCUGCAAGUAGUAGCGCAACUGUUGAUGUUUGAGUUGCAGCCAGCAUCUACACAUGGAGUAAGAAUCACCCCGAAAUCCAGCAAAUCACAAUCAUGCACUGGAAAAACCUUAUAUGAUUUGU